GGGUUGUGAGGUUAAGCGACUAAGCGUACACGGUGGAUGCCCUGGCAGUCAGAGGCGAUGAAGGACGUGCUAAUCUGCGAUAAGCGUCGGUAAGGUGAUAUGAACCGUUAUAACCGGCGAUUUCCGAAUGGGGAAACCCAGUGUGUUUCGACACACUAUCAUUAACUGAAUCCAUAGGUUAAUGAGGCGAACCGGGGGAACUGAAACAUCUAAGUACCCCGAGGAAAAGAAAUCAACCGAGAUUCCCCCAGUAGCGGCGAGCGAACGGGGAGCAGCCCAGAGCCUGAAUCAGUGUGUGUGUUAGUGGAAGCGUCUGGAAAGGCGCGCGAUACAGGGUGACAGCCCCGUACACAAAAAUGCACAUAUUGUGAGCUCGAUGAGUAGGGCGGGACACGUGGUAUCCUGUCUGAAUAUGGGGGGACCAUCCUCCAAGGCUAAAUACUCCUGACUGACCGAUAGUGAACCAGUACCGUGAGGGAAAGGCGAAAAGAACCCCGGCGAGGGGAGUGAAAAAGAACCUGAAACCGUGUACGUACAAGCAGUGGGAGCCUCUUUUAUGGGGUGACUGCGUACCUUUUGUAUAAUGGGUCAGCGACUUAUAUUCUGUAGCAAGGUUAACCGAAUAGGGGAGCCGAAGGGAAACCGAGUCUUAACUGGGCGUUAAGUUGCAGGGUAUAGACCCGAAACCCGGUGAUCUAGCCAUGGGCAGGUUGAAGGUUGGGUAACACUAACUGGAGGACCGAACCGACUAAUGUUGAAAAAUUAGCGGAUGACUUGUGGCUGGGGGUGAAAGGCCAAUCAAACCGGGAGAUAGCUGGUUCUCCCCGAAAGCUAUUUAGGUAGCGCCUCGUGAAUUCAUCUCCGGGGGUAGAGCACUGUUUCGGCAAGGGGGUCAUCCCGACUUACCAACCCGAUGCAAACUGCGAAUACCGGAGAAUGUUAUCACGGGAGACACACGGCGGGUGCUAACGUCCGUCGUGAAGAGGGAAACAACCCAGACCGCCAGCUAAGGUCCCAAAGUCAUGGUUAAGUGGGAAACGAUGUGGGAAGGCCCAGACAGCCAGGAUGUUGGCUUAGAAGCAGCCAUCAUUUAAAGAAAGCGUAAUAGCUCACUGGUCGAGUCGGCCUGCGCGGAAGAUGUAACGGGGCUAAACCAUGCACCGAAGCUGCGGCAGCGACGCUGAUGCGUUGUUGGGUAGGGGAGCGUUCUGUAAGCCUGUGAAGGUGUACUGUGAGGUAUGCUGGAGGUAUCAGAAGUGCGAAUGCUGACAUAAGUAACGAUAAAGCGGGUGAAAAGCCCGCUCGCCGGAAGACCAAGGGUUCCUGUCCAACGUUAAUCGGGGCAGGGUGAGUCGACCCCUAAGGCGAGGCCGAAAGGCGUAGUCGAUGGGAAACAGGUUAAUAUUCCUGUACUUGGUGUUACUGCGAAGGGGGGACGGAGAAGGCUAUGUUGGCCGGGCGACGGUUGUCCCGGUUUAAGCGUGUAGGCUGGUUUUCCAGGCAAAUCCGGAAAAUCAAGGCUGAGGCGUGAUGACGAGGCACUACGGUGCUGAAGCAACAAAUGCCCUGCUUCCAGGAAAAGCCUCUAAGCAUCAGGUAACAUUGAAUCGUACCCCAAACCGACACAGGUGGUCAGGUAGAGAAUACCAAGGCGCUUGAGAGAACUCGGGUGAAGGAACUAGGCAAAAUGGUGCCGUAACUUCGGGAGAAGGCACGCUGAUAUGUAGGUGAAGUCCCUCGCGGAUGGAGCUGAAAUCAGUCGAAGAUACCAGCUGGCUGCAACUGUUUAUUAAAAACACAGCACUGUGCAAACACGAAAGUGGACGUAUACGGUGUGACGCCUGCCCGGUGCCGGAAGGUUAAUUGAUGGGGUCAGCGCAAGCGAAGCUCUUGAUCGAAGCCCCGGUAAACGGCGGCCGUAACUAUAACGGUCCUAAGGUAGCGAAAUUCCUUGUCGGGUAAGUUCCGACCUGCACGAAUGGCGUAAUGAUGGCCAGGCUGUCUCCACCCGAGACUCAGUGAAAUUGAACUCGCUGUGAAGAUGCAGUGUACCCGCGGCAAGACGGAAAGACCCCGUGAACCUUUACUAUAGCUUGACACUGAACAUUGAGCCUUGAUGUGUAGGAUAGGUGGGAGGCUUAGAAGUGUGGACGCCAGUCUGCAUGGAGCCGACCUUGAAAUACCACCCUUUAAUGUUUGAUGUUCUAACGUUGACCCGUGAUCCGGGUUGCGGACAGUGUCUGGUGGGUAGUUUGACUGGGGCGGUCUCCUCCUAAAGAGUAACGGAGGAGCACGAAGGUUGGCUAAUCCUGGUCGGACAUCAGGAGGUUAGUGCAAUGGCAUAAGCCAGCUUGACUGCGAGCGUGACGGCGCGAGCAGGUGCGAAAGCAGGUCAUAGUGAUCCGGUGGUUCUGAAUGGAAGGGCCAUCGCUCAACGGAUAAAAGGUACUCCGGGGAUAACAGGCUGAUACCGCCCAAGAGUUCAUAUCGACGGCGGUGUUUGGCACCUCGAUGUCGGCUCAUCACAUCCUGGGGCUGAAGUAGGUCCCAAGGGUAUGGCUGUUCGCCAUUUAAAGUGGUACGCGAGCUGGGUUUAGAACGUCGUGAGACAGUUCGGUCCCUAUCUGCCGUGGGCGCUGGAGAACUGAGGGGGGCUGCUCCUAGUACGAGAGGACCGGAGUGGACGCAUCACUGGUGUUCGGGUUGUCAUGCCAAUGGCACUGCCCGGUAGCUAAAUGCGGAAGAGAUAAGUGCUGAAAGCAUCUAAGCACGAAACUUGCCCCGAGAUGAGUUCUCCCUGACUCCUUGAGAGUCCUGAAGGAACGUUGAAGACGACGACGUUGAUAGGCCGGGUGUGUAAGCGCAGCGAUGCGUUGAGCUAACCGGUACUAAUGAACCGUGAGGCUUAACCUUACAACGCCGAAG
This 2925-nucleotide ribosomal RNA is filed under the name Escherichia coli. RNAcentral's name for it is "23S ribosomal RNA". It matches the Rfam family "Bacterial large subunit ribosomal RNA". Lineage: Bacteria; Pseudomonadati; Pseudomonadota; Gammaproteobacteria; Enterobacterales; Enterobacteriaceae. The record is from RNAcentral.